RNA transcript from Scylla paramamosain (green mud crab), 1753 nucleotides. RefSeq lists it as uncharacterized. The record is from RefSeq and is a predicted model, not a curated record. The transcript is spliced from 8 exons. NCBI's taxonomy places the organism in Eukaryota, Metazoa, Arthropoda, Malacostraca, Decapoda, Portunidae.
UGAGACCGUGGACAUUUGGCUCAGCUGCGUGAACAAUACUCCAAACAAGGAACCUUCGAACUGAGACACUGAACCUGUAACUCUCAGCCGCCUUAGUCCUGCUCGCCUCGCCACUGCCGCGUGGUUACGUCAAGACAGCGGGCGGCCGCGUACUAGUUUCCUUAGUACUUGUGCGUACGUGUCAAUACCGUGUGCUGUAAACUGCUGAACGAACUGAGAUACUCAUUCAGUUUUGGUCGCCUCUCCAUUAUCUCGUGGUGACGUAAAGGUGACGGCCCGUGUGUUAGUUUUCCCGGUAAUUGUGCCUCCGUAACAUUACUGUGUGCAGUGGUCGUGAGAACUGCGAGGCGGCGGUGCAGACUGUGCCGUGGAGAGCCGCGGGGUGUUGGAAUCGCCUCUCAGUCACCUUGAAGGCGUCAUAUUCCCUCCCUGCUCUUCCCCGUGUCUUCCUGUCGAUGUUGGCGCCAUGUUCGACCAGGAUUCCAGGGUGAUCCAGAGCGCCUUCCUGCACGCCAUCCAGCACUACAGUCAAAACACCGCGGGCAGGAGGCUUCAGCUUCACGCCUUUGUGGGCAUCAUCAGUAUGGCGGAUGCCUUCAAGAUAUCCAGACUGAGUGAUGUCACAGAGAGCAAGUAGAAGAAAACCUGGGAGACUUGCAAGAGCCGCACCUCACCGGGGCUCUGCAAUGUGUGGCAGCGACUGCAGGAAUCAACACUUCGGUUUGUCAGCACACAGUUUCAGCAACCUUGUUCAUCAGACUGUUGGUGAAAGGUGAUCACUAUGAAAGAGGUCAAGACUCCACAGACCGACUGGGAGACAUGACGUCAGUGCCACCACGCAGGGAGUAAAACCAAGAGGAGGAAGAGGAGCAUUCAUGAGACAUCAGCUGGUCAGCAGUCCAUUCAGUUUGUGGCCCUGAUUUGUAAGUGCCAGGAAGACCAUGGUGAAGGCAGCCCACAAACCUUCCGUUGGACAUGAGUGGUGAACGGCAGUGAAAAUAUGGCAGUAUCUGAUUCUUUGCACCAAAACACAGUGUGCUUAUUAACAGAUUUAUUCACUGUUCACUCAUUUGCUCAUCUCUAAAGGAGUGAAGAGUGUGCACUGAAUUUCACAAGAGGAAGUGAAGGAUGAAGCAUGAAGGUUUUAGGCCAAAAUGAACAGACAGCAAUCAGGAAUGACACGUCCAGCAAAACCGGCAACACAGCAACACACACACACACCCAGGCUUACAAGUUGAUAAUCCAAAAGCCAGCAGAUGACAGCUUCCUUCCAGCACACACUUGUAUCGCCCAACUUGACCUGCCUGAAUACAAGCUGAUACAGUCCAUGCAGCAGAGUAAAGAGUGCAGCCUCUACAAGUGGUGGAGGGCAUGGACACUUGGAUAUGGAUGACACUGGUUUGGGUGCCAAAUAUUAAUAGUGCACCUACACAAUUACCACACUCGCUCCUCUCACCAGGCUUAACUAUAAAUAAUUAAAGGUAAAUAACAUCUGUCAUCUAUUAUCUAUUGUAUUCUAUAUUGCUGUUAAUGUUUCAUGUAUAAUGUCUUUGCUUUCAAAUGCAAGUCAAAAGGGUGAACCCCAUUUAUAGUACUAUUCACGUUUGGCAAAUUUCACUUUUGACAUUGGUUUGGCUACACUAAUUGAACUGCUAACAGUGAGGGACUACUGUAAAUGUAGUAAUAAUUAUAAUAAUAAUAAUAAUAAUAAUAAUAAUAAUAAUAAUAAUAAUAAUAAAAAGUAAUGAUAAAG